UACGAAGGGGGCUAGCGUUGCUCGGAAUCACUGGGCGUAAAGGGUGCGUAGGCGGGUCUUUAAGUCAAGGGUGAAAUCCUGGAGCUCAACUCCAGAACUGCCUUUGAUACUGAGGAUCUUGAGUUCGGGAGAGGUGAGUGGAACUGCGAGUGUAGAGGUGAAAUUCGUAGAUAUUCGCAAGAACACCAGUGGCGAAGGCGGCUCACUGGCCCGAUACUGACGCUGAGGAGCGAAAGCGUGGGGAGCAAACAGG
RNAcentral lists this ribosomal RNA (253 nucleotides) under uncultured bacterium. Its description in RNAcentral is "partial 16S ribosomal RNA". It matches the Rfam family "Bacterial small subunit ribosomal RNA", at positions 524 to 776 of the family's 1533-position model. The record is from RNAcentral.